Molecule: long non-coding RNA, 259 nt
Filed under: Homo sapiens (human)
Lineage: Eukaryota; Metazoa; Chordata; Mammalia; Primates; Hominidae
Description: HSALNT0200352
Source: RNAcentral
ACUGCCCCAUGUAAGUUAUGGCUGAUCCAUUUGUUGGCUAAGCAAAAAGAUGGAUUUAAGUGUUCUUGGAGGCCACCACCAUUACAGAUUCAUGAAUUGACAAUAACAUGCCCUGAGGACACUGGGAAAGAGUGGAGGUCUUCUUUAUUGAUGAAAAAAUGCCAGGCUCACCCAGACUGAGCUGAACCACCACCAUUUGAUCUGGAAAGAACACAUGCUCAAGGGACCAGGCCACUCCCUGAUUUUUUGCUCUGCUUUA